Molecule: ribosomal RNA, 397 nt
Filed under: uncultured bacterium
Lineage: Bacteria
Description: partial 16S ribosomal RNA
Rfam family: Bacterial small subunit ribosomal RNA
Source: RNAcentral
AUACGUAGGGAGCGAGCGUUGUCCGGAAUGAUUGGGCGUAAAGGGCGCGUAGGCGGCCCGGUAAGUCUGGAGUGAAAGUCCUGCUUUUAAGGUGGGAAUUGCUUUGGAUACUGUCGGGCUUGAGUGCAGGAGAGGUAAGUGGAAUUCCCAGUGUAGCGGUGAAAUGCGUAGAGAUUGGGAGGAACACCAGUGGCGAAGGCGACUUACUGGACUGUAACUGACGCUGAGGCGCGAAAGUGUGGGGAGCAAACAGGAUUAGAUACCCUGGUAGUCCACACUGUAAACGAUGAAUGCUAGGUGUAGGGGGUAUCGACCCCUUCUGUACCGCAGUUAACACAAUGAGCAUUCCGCCUGGGGAGUAUGGCCGCAAGGUUGAAACUCAAAGGAAUUGACGGGG